AUUGAACGCUGGCGGCAGGCCUAACACAUGCAAGUCGAACGAGUGGCGGACGGGUGAGUAAUGUCUGGGAAACUGCCCGAUGGAGGGGGAUAACUACUGGAAACGGUAGCUAAUACCGCAUACCAUCGGAUGUGCCCAGAUGGGAUUAGCUAGUAGGUGGGGUAACGGCUCACCUAGGCGACGAUCCCUAGCUGGUCUGAGAGGAUGACCAGCAAAAUGGGAACUGAGACACGGUCCAGCCCCCUACUGGAGGCAGCAGUGGGGAAUAGUGCACAAUGGGCGGAAGCAUAAUGCAGCAAUACCGCGUGUAUGAAGAAGGCGUUCUGGUUGUAAAGUACUUUCAGCGAGGAGGCGUUACUCGCAGAAGAAGCACCGGCUAACUCCGUGCCAGCAGCCGCGGUAAUU
This 405-nucleotide ribosomal RNA is filed under the name uncultured bacterium. RNAcentral's name for it is "partial 16S ribosomal RNA". It matches the Rfam family "Bacterial small subunit ribosomal RNA", at positions 30 to 525 of the family's 1533-position model. The record is from RNAcentral.